UACGUAGGGGGCGAGCGUUGUCCGGAAUUAUUGGGCGUAAAGGGCUCGUAGGCGGUUUGUCGCGUCGGGAGUGAAAACCCAGGGCUUAACUCUGGGCUUGCUUUCGAUACGGGCAGACUAGAGGUAUGCAGGGGAGAACGGAAUUCCUGGUGUAGCGGUGAAAUGCGUAGAUAUCUGGAGGAAUACCGGUGGCGAAGGCGGCAUCCUGGACCGGCAUUGACGCUGAUGAGCGAAAGCUAGGGGAGCAAACGGG
This 253-nucleotide ribosomal RNA is filed under the name uncultured bacterium. Its description in RNAcentral is "partial 16S ribosomal RNA". It matches the Rfam family "Bacterial small subunit ribosomal RNA", at positions 524 to 776 of the family's 1533-position model. The record is from RNAcentral.